AGAGUUAAGCUUCGUAGGUGACCUGCGGAGGAUCAUUACUGAUUUGCUUAAUUGCACCACAUGUGUUUUUCUUUGAAACAAACUUGCUUUGGCGGUGGGCCCAGCCUGCCGCCAGAGGUCUAAACUUACAACCAAUUUUUUAUCAACUUGUCACACCAGAUUAUUACUAAUAGUCAAAACUUUCAACAACGGAUCUCUUGGUUCUCGCAUCGAUGAAGAACGCAGCGAAAUGCGAUACGUAAUAUGAAUUGCAGAUAUUCGUGAAUCAUCGAAUCUUUGAACGCACAUUGCGCCCUCUGGUAUUCCGGAGGGCAUGCCUGUUUGAGCGUCGUUUCUCCCUCAAACCGCUGGGUUUGGUGUUGAGCAAUACGACUUGGGUUUGCUUGAAAGACGGUAGUGGUAAGGCGGGAUCGCUUUGACAAUGGCUUAGGUCUAACCAAAAACAUUGCUUGCGGCGGUAACGUCCACCACGUAUAUCUUCAAACUUUGACCUCAAAUCAGGUAGGACUACCCGCUGAACUUAAGCAUAUCAAAAGGCCGGGAGGAA
This 547-nucleotide ribosomal RNA is filed under the name [Candida] sp. MM 2_9_c. Its description in RNAcentral is "eukaryotic LSU rRNA". The stretch from base 178 to 331 matches the Rfam family "5.8S ribosomal RNA". The record is from RNAcentral. Lineage: Eukaryota; Fungi; Ascomycota; Saccharomycetes; Saccharomycetales.